This 799-nucleotide long non-coding RNA is filed under the name Marmota monax (woodchuck). The record is from RNAcentral. Lineage: Eukaryota; Metazoa; Chordata; Mammalia; Rodentia; Sciuridae.
GGCCUGUCCCUAGAGUGCUGCCUGCGCAGGGACCCCCUGCUCGAGAAGUUGGGGUGGGGGGCCAGGUGCCGGGCCUGCCCUCCUGGGUGGCCACGCAGCCUCCUCCUUCCUGUAGCCUCUCUUCAAACACAGGCUUUGCCUCCUGACUCCCACUUCCAACCCUCCACCCAUCCACACCGCAUGUGGCACAGGAGCCACACUCUCCUUGGCUUCAGGCCCUUAUGGUCCUCAAGGACAUUCCCGCCAUCACUGCCUGUGUCUCACCUGCACAUUCCACUCCAGCUACACCAGCUCCCGCUGUCUUAAAACCCAGUGUUCCCACCCCAGGGCCUUUGCACUUGCCAUUCUCUCCAUUUAUAGGGCUCCUCUCACACCCUUCCUGAGUGUCCCUUCCAGUCCUUCUGGCCGUGGCUCACAUGGCACCUCCCUGAGGAGGCUGUCCUUGACCACCUUCUCUGAGCUACUCCCACUGUCUCAAUCACCCCUCUUUCUUUUUUCUUUAAUAAGGUGUAAUUCACGAACCACAAAACUCACCCUUCUAAAGUGUGCUUUCGACAGUGGGCAGCUCACUGGUUCCUAGUGUAGUCACGGGGUUGGACGGCCACCACCACCACCUAGUUCCAGACUGUUUUCAACAUCCCCCACAGAACCACCUCCCACUAGCCGUGGCUCCCUGGUCCCCUCCCCUUGGCCCUGGCCACCACCCAUCUCCUUCCCGUCUGUGGAGUCACCUGCUCUGGGCAUGGGUGGCAGCUAGUCGUGCGGCACGUGGCCCUCGGGUCUGGCUCCUUUCCCUUAG